Cyprinus carpio (common carp) is the source of this 1534-nucleotide long non-coding RNA. RefSeq lists it as uncharacterized. The record is from RefSeq and is a predicted model, not a curated record. The transcript has 7 exons. NCBI's taxonomy places the organism in Eukaryota, Metazoa, Chordata, Actinopteri, Cypriniformes, Cyprinidae.
CAAAUUGUACUUUUACUUAAGUAUUUCUCUAACACCAGUACUUUUACUUGUAAUAGAGUAAUAGCAAUGUAACAGUACUUGUUGAGUACAGAUUUUCAGUACUCUUUCCACCACUGCCUGUUAUGCACACAACACCUAAUUAGGCUCAUUCAUAAUGAAGCCAUCGAAGCAGUUAACGUUUGUUAAUUCUCUCACAUAUCUUUUAAUUUACGAAUUUUACUGUAUUUAAUUGUUAUUUGGUCAGGCAGUUCUUAAGACAUCUAUAAGGGGCCUGUAUGCAAAGGUCUUGUUUCGCGCUCAAAACGUUAACAGUCCAUUCGGAAUGCAGUGCUGCUAGCUGUGAAUUCGAGGAGAACUUCAUAUCAGACAUUCACAAAGUGAGGUGCACUGAAGAGUAAUGCAAUGACUCAAAAUGUGAACCGCAAAGAAGUGGAAAUAGCGCUGGGGAAGUGGUUUACCGGCGCACGUGACCGUGGAGGGGAGAGGGCUGCAAGAGCCCAAAGAGAAAAAGGAGCGUCCACCACACAGAUGCCAUGAGUACUGCGUACUCUGCGUAUAGGGAGCGGCGGUACUGACGCCAGCGGUCCCACACUCUGCGCCACACCACUUCACGCCACCGGUCCCAAUCUCCGUCUCACAGCAUCCCACGCCAGUGGUCCCGCACUCCACGCCACAGCUCUUCACACCCACGGGACAGCUCUCCACACCAGCGCUCCAGCUCUUCUUAUGAGUGCUCCCAAAAACCAGCUAGGGGGAACCAGCACAGAGAGGGUGGAGAGCUAUUCCCAUUAGAUAAUGGAAAAUUCCAAAGGCGGGUCCUUUAUCUUCUUUCUGAUAUUCGGGCAAAGCUGUCAGAGGUGGGCCAAAACCGUGAGCCCCCAGAGUCUCAGUUCCACCUUGAGAAAAUGAACAGCAGGCGUGAGCUAAAAAAUCUGGAAGGGCAACUGGCCGUUGAAGAAAAGAUGAAUGUGAUGGUGUCUCGCUUAGUCAGGAUUGGGGGUGCAGACCUUGAGGACUGUGUAAAAAAUAUGAUGAAAAGAGUUCUUACCAACAGAUUGAUGGCAACAAUGAACAUGGACGGCUCAGGAUGAAGAAGGCCUUUGGAAAAACACGGCUAUGCCGUGUUAUAAUAGGUGCUGUACAGCAGUCGAAACCUUCUGCGUCAGAGGCCGAAAUAAAGAAAUACAUGGGCAGCUAUCUCCAGUCUGCUCCUGAUAGAUAUGGGGGUAUGGGACGGCAAAAGGGGAAAUCGGCCAUUGCAUUCUGUUGUAGAAUGCACCUAUUGUUUAUCUACAAUGUUUCUGUUCAUUAAUUUGUUUAUCUACGAAACAAAUUACAAAACUGGUUUUAUUUUAAUUUAACUUGCUCUUUGUUUUUAAAGGUCUUGAGAGCUUUGAUGUAAAAACCUGUAAUAUGUCUGUCGUGAUGACACAAAAUGCAAUUGUUCAUCAAUUAAGAUUUAUAUCAGAUUGAAAUUUAUAUAUAAAAUUCUGAUAUAAACCAGUGGAUUUAAUAAAACAUGUCUUGCGUUUAA